Molecule: ribosomal RNA, 254 nt
Filed under: uncultured bacterium
Lineage: Bacteria
Description: partial 16S ribosomal RNA
Rfam family: Bacterial small subunit ribosomal RNA
Source: RNAcentral
GACAGAGGGUGCAAACGUUGUUCGGAAUUACUGGGCGUAAAGCGUGUGUAGGCGGUCACGUAAGUCGGGGGUGAAAUCCCGGGGCUCAACCCCGGAACUGCCUUCGAUACUGGGUAUCUUGAGUUCGGAAGAGGUGAGUGGAAUUGCGAGUGUAGAGGUGAAAUUCGUAGAUAUUCGCAGGAACACCAGUGGCGAAGGCGGCUCACUGGUCCGAUACUGACGCUGAGGUGCGAAAGCGUGGGGAGCAAACAGGG